CCGAUCUCAAGAUCGAAGGAGAGCCAACUGUUUACAGGAAAGGAAGUUGAAAGAGGCAUGGUACGAGAGGAAAGCCUCACGGCCAAUUCAGCUAAGUGUCAAAGACCGUUGACAGCUACUGCUAGUCGCAAACCUUCUCUUCCGAAAGAACCUAUUUGCCCACUGACUUUCAGCUCUGUAAAAGAACCCAUCCUCUUAUCAUUUCCUCUUCCUAUUUCUUAUUUCUUAGAAUGAAUAUUUCUUGAUGCACCUAUGUAUGCUAUGGAUUCAGAAAAGAAAGGAUGAAGAGAAUCUGCGAAUGAAAGUGAAAGAAGAAUUUACUCAUUAACGAGAAUUCACUGAUUAAGAAGAAUCCACAGUCCGAAGGCUCAAUGUAAUAUGAUUUUCCGCUUUGUUUUUCCGAAGGACCAAGCUUUUUUUACCGCUCGCAAGUCAAAUUCUCUAAUGGAUAGGCCUCAGCUUGAUUUCUGUUAGAAGGUGGGCUUUCUUCUUCUCAAAUACUUUGAGCCUCGGACUAUUUCUCAAUCUUAGACCGAUAAAAGAUCUUUUUUGACUGAUUUUUUCUCUUUGUCUUUCUGCCUCUUUCUCUCCAACUCACUCGAGCCGCUUCGGUCCUCUCCCUCUAUCGGCGGCGAGCCGCUUUCGCUCCUCUCCUUACAGUCGAGUUCCUUCUAUCCUCUGGUCGAGUGGCUACGCUCCUCUCACCCAGCGCAGUGAUAGUACGGACUUUCUUUCUGGUUUGUGACUCUUUUCAAGCAAUAAGAAGAAUUACCGCUACGUGGCUUUCUUUGUGGCUUUUUCUUACUCCAGACAAGAUGGGUACAGUGGCUCGACUUUAUAUUAACUAUCGUCUUCUCAAAUUCCCUAAUGGAUAGUCCUUCGGACCUGUCUUAUGGAUCCUUUGAUUCUUGUUCACUAAGAGUUCUUUCUUCAAGAGUCAGAUCGGUGCCAUGAGGGAAUGCUAAUUGAAUAGAGAUUCGGCUUAGUAAGCCUUUCCUCGUUCGCUCCUCGUACCUUUACAUCUUCCUAUGAUUGGUUAUGCGAGCAGGCCCCUUCCUGUUUACUAAGUGGUCGCCUUGUCUUAUACUUUGAGACUUUGUUGACUCUCUUUGAAUGAGUUCUAAGGUUGGCGGGAGCUCUUCCCUCCCCUUACCUGAUUUUUCAAGAAAGGGCUGAAAGAAAAGAAAUCUCUCGAAAGAAAGAAGAGGGUACCGUGGAAGAUGUAAAGACAAUAAGCAAGGGGCACUAGCUGGUAGCGGGCUCUUAAGGGUUACCAUCAAAAAUCACUAUCCUCCACUCCUAUUGAAGACAGAAAACCUGCCCGAUUGGGAGAGGGAUGAAAUAGCUCGACCGUAGGGAGAGGGAUGAAAUAGCUCGACCGUAGGGAGAGGGAUUCUUCUUUCUUCUUUAUAGUAGGUUUGUUUAGAAGAAGACUCCCAGAAAGAGAAAGCCUAGCGAAGGGAAGCGACUGGAAAGGAGUGCAGAGUGCAAGUGCAGGAAAUAGCUUUCUUUGAAAGGAUGGGAAAUCGAGGUAGUCCUUUGCUUAAGACAAUGGUUGAGUACAAAGACGAAUACCUUCUCCUCUUACCGGUAAGCAUCUCUUUUCUUAAUUGGCCUAUAACCACCCCUUGUUCAUUGAGGCGGGAGAGAAAGCACUCCACCUCUUCGGGAGAGAGAGCACCAAAAGCGAAAGCGGCUCGACUUAUAGGAGAACAAGCGAAAGCGGCAGUUCGUCUUCUUGAAAAAGGAGAAUUGGUAAGCUCUUUCAUUCGAUCGUCACACCAGUCCGGAGUCAAAUAUUAGUGGAAAACAAAGGUCCAG
Molecule: long non-coding RNA, 1821 nt
Filed under: Cucumis sativus (cucumber)
Lineage: Eukaryota; Viridiplantae; Streptophyta; Magnoliopsida; Cucurbitales; Cucurbitaceae
Description: long non-coding RNA (CSAT_LNC000005)
Source: RNAcentral